GAGCUUGUAGCUCAGUGGAUUAGAGCAAAUAGCUACGAACUAUUAGGACAGGGGUUCGAAUCCCUUCUUGCUCA
This 74-nucleotide transfer RNA is filed under the name Nitzschia sp. (in: diatoms). RNAcentral's name for it is "Nitzschia sp. (in: Bacillariophyta) tRNA-Arg". It matches the Rfam family "tRNA". From Rfam's summary of the family: Transfer RNA (tRNA) molecules are approximately 80 nucleotides in length. Their secondary structure includes four short double-helical elements and three loops (D, anti-codon, and T loops). Lineage: Eukaryota; Bacillariophyta; Bacillariophyceae; Bacillariales; Bacillariaceae. The record is from RNAcentral.